GGGCUCGUAGCUCAGCGGUAGAGCGUUCGGUUCGCAUCCGAGAGGUCACCGGUUCAAGUCCGGUCGAGUCCA
RNAcentral lists this transfer RNA (72 nucleotides) under Candidatus Gottesmanbacteria bacterium. Its description in RNAcentral is "tRNA-Ala". It matches the Rfam family "tRNA". From Rfam's summary of the family: Transfer RNA (tRNA) molecules are approximately 80 nucleotides in length. Their secondary structure includes four short double-helical elements and three loops (D, anti-codon, and T loops). The record is from RNAcentral. Lineage: Bacteria; Candidatus Gottesmaniibacteriota.